Molecule: ribosomal RNA, 253 nt
Filed under: uncultured bacterium
Lineage: Bacteria
Description: partial 16S ribosomal RNA
Rfam family: Bacterial small subunit ribosomal RNA
Source: RNAcentral
UACAGAGGUCUCAAGCGUUGUCCGGAAUCAUUGGGCGUAAAGAGCGUGUAGGCGGCGGGGUAAGUCUGGUGUGAAAUCUCGGAGCUCAACUCCGAAAUUGCACUGGAUACUGCUCUGCUAGAGGGCUGGAGAGGAGAUCGGAAUUCACGGUGUAGCAGUGAAAUGCGUAGAUAUCGUGAGGAAGACCAGUGGCGAAGGCGGAUCUCUGGACAGCUCCUGACGCUGAGGCGCGAAGGCUAGGGGAGCAAACGGG